Molecule: transfer RNA, 91 nt
Filed under: Thermoanaerobacteraceae bacterium
Lineage: Bacteria; Bacillati; Bacillota; Clostridia; Thermoanaerobacterales; Thermoanaerobacteraceae
Also listed under: 1 other name
Description: tRNA-Ser
Rfam family: tRNA
About the family: Transfer RNA (tRNA) molecules are approximately 80 nucleotides in length. Their secondary structure includes four short double-helical elements and three loops (D, anti-codon, and T loops). Further hydrogen bonds mediate the characteristic L-shaped molecular structure. tRNAs have two regions of fundamental functional importance: the anti-codon, which is responsible for specific mRNA codon recognition, and the 3' end, to which the tRNAs corresponding amino acid is attached (by aminoacyl-tRNA synthetases). tRNAs cope with the degeneracy of the genetic code in two manners: having more than one tRNA (with a specific anti-codon) for a particular amino acid; and 'wobble' base-pairing, i.e. permitting non-standard base-pairing at the 3rd anti-codon position.
Source: RNAcentral
GGAGGAGUACCCAAGUCGGUGAAGGGGCGGUCUUGCUAAGACUGUAGGUCGUGAAAGCGGCGCGAGGGUUCGAGUCCCUCCUCCUCCGCCA